Molecule: ribosomal RNA, 328 nt
Filed under: uncultured eukaryote
Lineage: Eukaryota
Description: partial 18S ribosomal RNA
Rfam family: Eukaryotic small subunit ribosomal RNA
Source: RNAcentral
CCCUUAGAUGCCCUGGGCCGCACGCGCGUUACACUGAUGCAUUCAACGAGCUUAUAACCUUGGCCGAGAGGCCUGGGCAAUCUUGUUAACGUGCAUCGUGAUAGGGAUAGAUUAUUGAAAUUAUUAAUCUUGAACGAGGAAUUCCUAGUAAACGCAGAUCAUCAAUCUGCAUUGAUUACGUCCCUGCCCUUUGUACACACCGCCCGUCGCACCUACCGAUUGGAUGGUCCGGUGAAGCCUCGGGAUUGUGGUUCUUGCCGCUUUAUUGUGGCGUGACCGCGAGAACUUGUCUAAACCUUAUCACCUAGAGGAAGGUGAAGUCGUAACA